AUUGAACGCUGGCGGCAGGCCUAACACAUGCAAGUCGAGCGGAUGAAGGGAGCUUGCUCCUGGAUUCAGCGGCGGACGGGUGAGUAAUGCCUAGGAAUCUGCCUGGUAGUGGGGGAUAACGUCCGGAAACGGGCGCUAAUACCGCAUACGUCCUGAGGGAGAAAGUGGGGGAUCUUCGGACCUCACGCUAUCAGAUGAGCCUAGGUCGGAUUAGCUAGUUGGUGGGGUAAAGGCCUACCAAGGCGACGAUCCGUAACUGGUCUGAGAGGAUGAUCAGUCAAACGGGAACUGAAAAACGGGCCAAACCCCUACGGGGGGCAGCGGUGGGGAAAAUUGGAAAAUGGGCGAAAGCCUGAUCCAGCCAUGCCGGGUGUGUGAAGAAGGUCUUGGGAUUGUAAAGCACUUUAAGUUGGGGGGAAGGGCAGUAAGUUAAUACCUUGCUUUUUUGACGUUACCAACAGAAUAAGCACCGGCUAACUUCGU
Molecule: ribosomal RNA, 483 nt
Filed under: uncultured bacterium
Lineage: Bacteria
Description: partial 16S ribosomal RNA
Rfam family: Bacterial small subunit ribosomal RNA
Source: RNAcentral